Long non-coding RNA from Zalophus californianus (California sea lion), 1375 nucleotides. RefSeq lists it as uncharacterized. The transcript has 3 exons. Lineage: Eukaryota; Metazoa; Chordata; Mammalia; Carnivora; Otariidae. The record is from RefSeq and is a predicted model, not a curated record.
CGCACCAGUGGUCGUUGUGGCGUUCUGUUUCCUACACCAGUGUGGUAAUUACUACUGAUGUUUAUCACGAGGAACUAGGUUUCCUGCUAAUACUAUUGAUUUUUAUCAGGAGGAACUAGGUUUCCUGCUACAAAAUGAAGGCAGGGAGAUAUACAGAGAGUCUGGGGAUUGCUCACUAGGUCUCUUGGUGCCAUCAUGCCUGGUGACAAUUGUGGAUGGAAAAUUGCCACGACCACAGCCUGAUAAGCACAGAGAAAUCAAGGGCGCAGAUUCUUUGGAGAUGAAAGUCUGGGUCACCGCAGCAGGCAAACAACACAGGCCAGCAGGCCUAGGAUUCCAGCUUGCCACCAUAUUGAAGGGGAUUUUGUAACUCACUGGACUUACUUGAAGGGAAAAGGAGACACAGGGAACGGGCUCUUGCCUGCCUCUCCUAAUCCUCUUAUUCUGAUUUUAGCUGUGGAGCCUAGCUCCCAUGAAGUCCUCAACCAGAUUCAUUCAGGUGAAAUCUCAUGAAAAUGCUGAGGGGAGAGAACCUACAAAAUCUGAAGAUGAAUCCACUGAAGAGAAAAUGAUUGAUAGCAAGUUCCUAAGGAUGGACAAAAGACCAAGCUUAAAGAAGGAAGGACAUGAAAGGAGAGGACAAACUGAAGAAAUUCAGGCUGAAUUAGAUAAUCCUCUUAGUCAAGUGGAUGGCUAUGUGUGACCUGUCUGCUAUGGUCAGGUAGACAUGGUGUUGGGAGUUUGAUGUCUUGUCAAGAGAGAACAAACAGCAGCAUCUGGCACCACAGUAAGAAACACAGUGGACGGGUUAUUGAUUAUCUUAAAAUAUCUUGUAACAACUUCUGUCUAAUACUUCCAAAGAGCUAUUAAUAAUCUUACCCACUAAAAAAAACACUGUCAUUCUUACUUAAUGAAAAUGUAUUCUCUGCCACAGCUGCUAGUAUCUUACCAACAUCUGUCCAUGCCUUAUGGAAGAGUUUGUUUUCCAAAUGAAACUAGAAUAACAAGCCUGACAUUUAAUAUACUUAAUAUGCAGUCUGUCUCAUGACGCAUCAAUGAAUUUAUUUUCGAUACAAAAUCUGGAUGAAAAUCUUUGGGUCAUAAAAGGAAAUUACAAGUAUAAAUAUAUUUGAAAUAUGGUUCCAUAAAUAACAAUGUCAUGAAUUUAUUAAUAGGGUUACUAGUUCAUCUGAAGCCUUAUGAUAGCGCCCUUUAUUAGAAGUAUGAUUUUACUUUAAUAAUAAAAGUUACUGUGUAGAUUUGAUUACAUGUUUGAAUUUUCCAUUGAAUUAUUUAUAUAAAAGUCAUGUUAUGAUGAUUACACAAUGAUGUGAAUGCUCUUAAUGGCAUUGAACUGUACAUUUAAAAAUGGUUA